RNAcentral lists this transfer RNA (71 nucleotides) under Cavia porcellus (domestic guinea pig). It matches the Rfam family "tRNA". From Rfam's summary of the family: Transfer RNA (tRNA) molecules are approximately 80 nucleotides in length. The record is from Rfam by way of RNAcentral. Lineage: Eukaryota; Metazoa; Chordata; Mammalia; Rodentia; Caviidae.
GGGGAUUUAGCUCAGCGGCAUAAGUACCUGCCUUGCAAGCAGGCGGUCGUGAGUUCGAUUCCCAGUACCGA